CCUACGGGUGGCAGCAGUGAGGAAUAUUGGUCAAUGGCCGUAAGGCUGAACCAGCCAAGUCGCGUGAAGGAAGAAGGAUCUAUGGUUUGUAAACUUCUUUUAUCGGGGAAUAAAGGUAUCCAUGUGUGGAUUUUUGCAUGUACCCUAUGAAUAAGCAUCGGCUAACUCCGUGCCAGCAGCAGCGGUAAUACGGAGGAUGCGAGCGUGAUCCGGAUUUAUUGGGUUUAAAGGGUGCGUAGAUUGUUUUUUAAGUCAGCGGUGAAAGUUUGUGGCUAACACAUAAACUUGCCGUUGAAACUGGAAGACAUGAGUGUGUUUGGGGUAGGAGGAAUGCGUGGUGUAGCGGUGAAAUGC
This 354-nucleotide ribosomal RNA is filed under the name uncultured bacterium. Its description in RNAcentral is "partial 16S ribosomal RNA". It matches the Rfam family "Bacterial small subunit ribosomal RNA", at positions 338 to 689 of the family's 1533-position model. The record is from RNAcentral.